UGAUAUCAGUUCACACAGGUUUUCUAACAUAAAUGACGCCUGUUUGAUGAAUUGGACUUGGAGGCAUAAUGCAGGUCCCUUUGUCCUGGGAUCAGCUCCUCUUGAAAAUAUUAGCUGGAGGAUGAGACAAAGACUUUUAGUGCUGCCUGUUGCUAUGGUGUGAUAAUUAUUUCAUCAUGGCUAGAAAUGACAAGCAAAUGCAUGUUUUGUGAAGUCUUUUGUGGCUUGCUCUGCUGCAAAUUGUCCGGGUCAAAGUACCUGAUAUUGAUUAGACA
This 275-nucleotide unclassified non-coding RNA is filed under the name uncultured Agaricomycetes. RNAcentral describes it as "sequence contains ITS2". The record is from RNAcentral. Lineage: Eukaryota; Fungi; Basidiomycota; Agaricomycetes.